RNAcentral lists this long non-coding RNA (886 nucleotides) under Coturnix japonica (Japanese quail). Its description in RNAcentral is "lncRNA (ENSCJPG00005005187.1)". Lineage: Eukaryota; Metazoa; Chordata; Aves; Galliformes; Phasianidae. The record is from RNAcentral.
AGUUUCCUCCUUAAUUACAGGUAAAUGACAGUUUGUGGGCUUUCAUAAUGUUCCAAACUGCAGCUAUAAGAACAUUAAGCAACCUAUUAUGCAUAUUUGACUGCUUUCCUGGAAACCUUGUGCCUUGGUAAAGGUAAAUACAGAAAAAGAAAGUAAAGCUGUAGACACAAAUUUCUAGUAUUAGUUUCUGCUAUAAUACCAACUACUUUUUCCAUGAAACCAAAAUACUUCAGUAUAGCUCUAUUUGUAAAAACAUUCCCUUUUUUUCGUUUUUGUAAUAGUUAUACUAGCACACAUUACUAUAGUUCAUCAUAAAAACAGAUUUAAAGAGCUUAGCUUUAUGUUGAAAUCGAUUUCAGUAAUUAAUUAGUGUCUGUCUGUACAGACUCAAGACAAACUGCACCAGGGCAGUCCCAACUCACCAGUGGAUACCAGGCUGAGCAGGGCGAUCAGGCUGAGGGCUGGCAUCUCGUGCCUUUGAGCUCGCCUUCAUUUCUACAGCUAUUGAAGUGCUCAGAUGGAGAGCUGCACCCUCCCAGCAAGAAAUGACCUGAGUCUCACGAGGCAGCUCAUGCUUUUCUAUGACCUAGGUCCCUUGCUCCCUCUUGGACUUCAGCACACCUCAGGGAGCUGCAGGCCUGUCCUGUUGGGCAAUGGGGCUGUGAACUGAUGCUGGUGGGAUUCCUGCGUUGGGCAAUGGAAGCGUUAAUCCAACAGUCAGGAGGUGUGGUUGUGAAAGAGCCCAGCUGGGCCCUUAGUACACACCAACAGAAGGAUAUGGAACAACCACGUAGUUGCAUGGAGCUGCAGUUGCACCACUUCCUCCCCUCUAACAAGAUAGGGCUCAAAGGAGAUGCUGCUGGAUGUACCAAUGCAGACAGCCAGG